RNAcentral lists this ribosomal RNA (910 nucleotides) under uncultured bacterium. Its description in RNAcentral is "bacterial SSU rRNA". It matches the Rfam family "Bacterial small subunit ribosomal RNA", at positions 33 to 925 of the family's 1533-position model. The record is from RNAcentral.
ACGCUGGCGGCGUGCCUAAUACAUGCAAGUAGAACGCUGAAGCUUGGUGCUUGCACCGAGCGGAAGAGUUGCGAACGGGUGAGUAACGCGUAGGUAACCUGCCUCUUAGCGGGGGAUAACUAUUGGAAACGAUAGCUAAUACCGCAUAAAAGUCGGCAUUGCAUGAUGUUGACUUGAAAGGUGCAACUGCAUCACUAAGAGAUGGACCUGCGUUGUAUUAGCUAGUUGGUGAGGUAACGGCUCACCAAGGCGACGAUACAUAGCCGACCUGAGAGGGUGAUCGGCCACACUGGGACUGAGACACGGCCCAGACUCCAACGGGAGGCAGCAGUAGGGAAUCUUCGGCAAUGGACGGAAGUCUGACCGAGCAACGCCGCGUGAGUGAAGAAGGUUUUCGGAUCGUAAAGCUCUGUUGUAAGAGAAGAACGAGUGUGAGAGUGGAAAGUUCACACUGUGACGGUAACUUACCAGAAAGGGACGGCUAACUACGUGCCAGCAGCCGCGGUAAUACGUAGGUCCCGAGCGUUAUCCGGAUUUAUUGGGCGUAAAGCGAGCGCAGGCGGUUAGAUAAGUCUGAAGUUAAAGGCUGUGGCUUAACCAUAGUACGCUUUGGAAACUGUUUAACUUGAGUGCAGAAGGGGAGAGUGGAAUUCCAUGUGUAGCGGUGAAAUGCGUAGAUAUAUGGAGGAACACCGGUGGCGAAAGCGGCUCUCUGGUCUGUAACUGACGCUGAGGCUCGAAAGCGUGGGGAGCAAACAGGAUUAGAUACCCUGGUAGUCCACGCCGUAAACGAUGAGUGCUAGGUGUUGGGUCCUUUCCGGGACUCAGUGCCGCAGCUAACGCAUUAAGCACUCCGCCUGGGGAGUACGACCGCAAGGUUGAAACUCAAAGGAAUUGACGGGGGCCCGCA